This 181-nucleotide ribosomal RNA is filed under the name uncultured bacterium. RNAcentral's name for it is "partial 16S ribosomal RNA". It matches the Rfam family "Bacterial small subunit ribosomal RNA", at positions 1319 to 1500 of the family's 1533-position model. The record is from RNAcentral.
CACGAAGCCGGAAUCGCUAGUAAUCGCAGAUCAGCAUGCUGCGGUGAAUACGUUCCCGGGUCUUGUACACACCGCCCGUCACACCAUGGGAGCCGGGAAUGCCCGAAGUCAGCGGCCCAACCGAAAGGGGGAGCUGCCGAAGGCAGGCCUGGUGACUGGGGUGAAGUCGUAACAAGGUACC